AAGAAGCUGACAUGAGCCCUUGUUUCCAGUAUGUGAGUCAUCAUUGCCACCAAUGGUCUGGGUCGUUGGCUGUGCACACACAUCCACAGACAGUACAACAACAGCCUCUAGUCCCUUGUUGCUGACCUUUGGGAAGCUGGGCAUGUAAGGCCAUACAUGAUCUACAGUGUACUUGUAGAGGUCAGAGGACAACUUGCAGGAGUCAUUUCUCUGCUUCCACAAUGUGAGUCCUGGGGAUCCAACUGAAGUCAUCAGAAGCAGUACUCGGGCUUCUAUUACA
Molecule: long non-coding RNA, 280 nt
Organism: Microtus oregoni (creeping vole)
Lineage: Eukaryota; Metazoa; Chordata; Mammalia; Rodentia; Cricetidae
Exons: 3
Source: RefSeq, a predicted model, not a curated record